Molecule: non-coding RNA, 159 nt
Organism: Chiloscyllium plagiosum (whitespotted bambooshark)
Lineage: Eukaryota; Metazoa; Chordata; Chondrichthyes; Orectolobiformes; Hemiscylliidae
Source: RefSeq, a predicted model, not a curated record
GGUACUGGGCUAAUGGUCGGAUACUUGGUAGUGUGGAUGAGCAGAGGGAUCUUGGUGUCCAUGUACACAGAUCUCUGAAAGUUGCCACCCAGGUAAAUAGUGCGGUGAGGAAGGCAUAUGGCGUACAGGCUUUUAUUGGUAGUGGAAUUGAUUUCCAGA